AUGUUUUUUUUUUGAAUACCGCUGGACAGUCAAUGGACUAGAAGCUACAUAUGCACAAGGGUACACACAAAUACUCCCUUUUAGUGAUUGAAAUUAAAUCGAUACUUGUUCUCAUCCAUCGGUGCGUUUUUAAUGGCUUAUAGUGUGAGUUGGUUUAAUGUUUAUUUGCAUAUUUAUGAUGUUAUGGAAACUUUGUCAUUGCAAAAUUAAGUUUUUUCUACUUUUCUAGAAUUUCAAUGAAGUUUUGCUCAUAUGUGUAAUGGAAACACAGCUACUGUUGGUGUGUGGUAAAGGUAUUGUAAAGUAUUUGAAAGGCAAAUGUAAGGUAGACGUACUUAUGACGUACAAGUGAUGCUGUUAUACACUCUAGUCAUCAGUAAAGUGCACAUACGGGCUUCUAACUGACCUUACACAAAUGCUCCACAAGUGCACAAGAUAUAUCAACCAAUCUUUAUUUAUAAAAAGUUCUUCUCAUACUUUGUUCAGUUUGAAGCCCUUUACAGUAAAAACAUAUACUAAGAAAUAAAAACCUUCCCUUUACCCUCCCCUCUGUUAACACACACAUCCCAUGAUCCCUCACACUUAAGACACUUAAAGCUCGGCUCUACUGUGAUGAAACACUAUAUUAGGAACCUAUUCAUGACCAGGAUAGCAAUCGGGACAGCAACAGUGCCCACUCCACAGCUGUGAGGCUGCAGUGAUGGACCGCCCCAACAAGGGCGAGAACCGCGGUAACAACCACCAACCAAGCCGUGGAACAAAGGAUCCCCACUGGAACAACCGUAGGAUUUCUACGCAAAACUUUCAUCUGAUUGUCUAAUUUCCUUUUUCUGACAGUCAGCGAGUACUUUAUCACUCACUCUCUCAUUGGACAGUGGGCUGGUUUUGGUAGAAUAAAAAAAAAAAAUAAAUAAGGAAACUUACUUCACCCUUCAUACCCUUCAAGUGCUCGCUACAACCUGUCACGCGCAGCAUGCCCAUAGAUAAAAAAAAAUGUGCAUGAACAUUUUCGUCUUAUGGGCUAACUGUGUUGUCUACAACUCUAUCAGGGGCAGUUGUGACUAAGCAGUUAAAAAUAUGUUAAAUUUCAACCAUAAGUAAGUUUACUCCAAGUGUAAUUAGAUUAAUUUUUGUGUUUGUUUUAUAUUUUGAUACUAAUUUAGUAUUUAUUUGACUAGAACACAUCGAGCAGCUGCCGAAGACGUAAAGUAUUUGGUUCAACCAGAGAGGACGAGAGCAUCAACAGGAGCAGCUGGACUUUAACAAAAAAGAAAAAAAAGCUUCAAACUUUAUUUAAAACGAGGGUGAAUGACAAAAGGUCAAAGGUCACAUCAUCAAUGGAGUUACAAUUGUGGACAAGGACUGAGCCGGCAGAUGCGUUCCGUAUGCAAGGCAAUCAAGUAAAACAGUGAGUGGAGAGCAGGAGCACUAUCUGCACACCCACUCACACACCAAACUGGCCUGGAGAAAAACAGAGGAGGAGGAGGAUGAAGAAGGAGAAGAAGUGUGGGACGGAAAGGAACGAGCCUGAGACCACUGAAGCCACCACAAACUAUCCAGUCAAAUAUCAGCGGGACUUUCAUCUCGAUACUUCAAACUUGUUUGAGUCUAUUGGAGAAACAUGAAUGAAGUUUGAGGCUUUUAUUCUGAAGGGCUUGUGUAAUCUGGAACAACAUAUCAGUAGUUAUUUAUGUUUGUUUUCAACUCAAGCACAUAUUCAAAUACAAGAAAAUAUUCAAAAAAAUAAAUAUUUGACUUGCUUACAAUGAA
Molecule: long non-coding RNA, 1770 nt
Organism: Oryzias melastigma (Indian medaka)
Lineage: Eukaryota; Metazoa; Chordata; Actinopteri; Beloniformes; Adrianichthyidae
Exons: 3
Source: RefSeq, a predicted model, not a curated record